AUUGAACGCUGGCGGCAUGCCUUACACAUGCAAGUCGAACGGCAGCACGGGGGCAACCCUGGUGGCGAGUGGCGAACGGGUGAGUAAUAUAUCGGAACGUGCCCUGGAGUGGGGGAUAACGUAGCGAAAGUUACGCUAAUACCGCAUACGAUCUACGGAUGAAAGUGGGGAUCGCAAGACCUCAUGCUCGUGGAGCGGCCGAUAUCUGAUUAGCUAGUUGGAGGGUAAAAGCCUACCAAGGCAUCGAUCAGUAGCUGGUUUGAGAGAACGACCAGCCACACUGGGACUGAGACACGGCCCAGACUCCUACGGAGGCAGCAGUGGGGAAUUUGGACAAUGGGCGCAAGCCUGAUCCAGCAAUGCCGCGUGUGUGAAGAAGG
Molecule: ribosomal RNA, 380 nt
Filed under: uncultured bacterium
Lineage: Bacteria
Description: bacterial SSU rRNA
Rfam family: Bacterial small subunit ribosomal RNA
Source: RNAcentral